Molecule: ribosomal RNA, 260 nt
Filed under: uncultured bacterium
Lineage: Bacteria
Description: partial 16S ribosomal RNA
Rfam family: Bacterial small subunit ribosomal RNA
Source: RNAcentral
CGUAAAGCGUACGCAGGCGGUUUGUUAAGCGAGAUGUGAAAGCCCCGGGCUCAACCUGGGAACUGCAUUUCGAACUGGCAAACUAGAGUGUGAUAGAGGGUGGUAGAAUUUCAGGUGUAGCGGUGAAAUGCGUAGAGAUCUGAAGGAAUACCGAUGGCGAAGGCAGCCACCUGGGUCAACACUGACGCUCAUGUACGAAAGCGUGGGGAGCAAACGGGAUUAGAUACCCCGGUAGUCCACGCCGUAAACGAUGUCUACUA